Molecule: long non-coding RNA, 2222 nt
Organism: Meriones unguiculatus (Mongolian gerbil)
Lineage: Eukaryota; Metazoa; Chordata; Mammalia; Rodentia; Muridae
Exons: 3
Source: RefSeq, a predicted model, not a curated record
ACACCACGUCACAACUGACAUUCACAGACAGCACUGAAAUAGAAAGUGAUGCGAGUGCAAAGACAAGAAGUCACCAUCGGAGCACCUAAAAAAAAAUCAAGAUGAAAAUCACCUGUGGUACCAAAUGCCUGUGUGACUAGAGGGAUCAAAGCCAGCCCUCAACAGAGCGUGGUGCCCUGGAUGCUCAGAAAUCCACCUCCUUGAAGACCUGGCUCACACUCACACUCCAGAGGUCGUACUCAGAGCCCGUUCUAGUGGUGCCGUUUACCUCUGAGCGAGCGGCGCGAGUGUGGGCCUGGGCGCAGUGCUAGUUCAUAACCGGAAAGGAGAUAAGGAGACAAGUGUGUGCAAGGAAAAGAUGUCACCCCCAGGAAUCUAAGGCCUUUUUUAAAGCCAGCGUUCACACGUACCCUGGAGUGUUGCUGACACCGAAGACACAACAGACACAGGAACUCACGGAAUUUAGAGUUUUAGGGAGCUGUGAUCCCCACCUCGUCUUCCAUUACUAAACGCACAGAGAUCCCAAGGUGUGCACCUGUGAGAAGGUCUGGAGGUCGCGACAUCGGGAGGAACUAAUGGCAGAGCUGACCCCGAUCAUCAAAGCGUGCUCAGCUGUGCGGCACACAUGUUGCUUUUCACAUGCUGUGAUCACGUCAGCGGACUGCUGAUCCCUGACGUCGUGCAAAGCAUGGGGGUGAGAGUCUUCGGAAGGCCCCUCACUCUCGUGAGUGCCCGUCUGUGCUGAUGCACCUCUGCCUCUCUCGUGAUCUGCAGAGGCUGUUUCUCAAACUGGGUGGCCCCGCCGUGAUGCAUGUGCAGUGAGCCCAGGGGUGAGCACUCAGUGGCCUCCUCCGUCACUCCACACCUUGUUCUGUUUGGCUCUGGCAUUCUCUCGCUGAACCUGGAGGAUACAUACUUACAUAUAUACAUACAUACAUAUAUAUACAUAACACAUAUACAUAUAUACACACACAUAUAUAAGCAUGCAUACGUACAUGUAAAGAACACACACAUGUCAGCUUAAUGUUCUGGGCUAAUGGGUCUCACUGAUCUACAUCAAAGUCCAGGCAGCUAUAGGUUCCCACUGUGAGCCUCCGGGAAGAAUCUACUUUGUCUUUUCCACCCAGGAGAAGCUGCCAUCGGGGCUUGGCCCAUGGUGGCAUCAAAGCCCCCUUCCUGUUCCUUGUGUCCUUCUCUGUCCUGUGUCCUCAUCCUUCCUCUGACUCUGGCCCUCCUCUUUGUAGACCAGGACUUUUGUGCUCUCACGGGGCGUACCUGGAGAAUCUCAGGUGAUGUUCCUCUCUGAUACCUUUGAAGAUAUCAGCACAUUACUUCUGGUCCUGUAGAGUAUUCAUGGAUUCAUGGAUUCUGGGGCUGGAAAUAGGCAUCUCUGGUGGAGACACUGUUCUGUGUCAUGACCAGCUUGAUGGAAGAGCUUGAAACUCUACAUGCAGGUUUCAUCUCUCCUGCAUGUGUGACAGAGUAGCUUGAAAACUGCACUGUGACUAGAGGGCUGUCGCCAGCAUGUAAGGCUUAAAGAAUUCCACUAGGGGGCGGCAUCUGUCACUAACACCUGCCCUGGAGGAGGCUUACACAAAGGUUAAACAGAGAGGGAUCCAAGUGUCUGUUGCUAGAAAACACAGCAUCACAAAACGGUAGGCAAGAUACAGAAACCCUAUGGGAAGAGCUGCAGCUGCUCUCUCUCUCUCUCUCUCUGUUUGUGUGUGUCUCCAUCUCACUGUGUAUCUCUCUGUCUCCUCUGUCUGUCUCUGUUUUUGACUCUGUCUCUGUGUAUAUGUCUGUCUUUCUCUCUGUGUCUCUGUCUCCUCUCUGUGUAUCUGUAUCUGUCUCCUCUUUCUCUGUGUGCUUCUUUCUAUCUCUACCUCUGUUUCUCUCUGUCUCUCUGACUCUGUGUGUUUCUCUGUCUGUCUCCUCUGUCUGCCUGUCUGUGUCUGCGUGUGUGUGUGUGUGUGUGUGUGUGUGUGUGUCCUUUCUCUGUAUCUCUGUCUCUGUCUCUCUCCUACCCUCCCAAGGUUUCAUGAACCUAGUCUCAGACUGCUCUCCAAUUUGCUGUGUAGCCAAGGAAGACUUUGGGUUCUGAUUCUCUGUCUCUGUCUCACCUCCCAAGGGCGAGGUUGCAGGAAUUCACCACUGUGUGGAAGGACGGGGAUGUGACAACUGGCUUGUGUGGUGCUGGGAUGGGGCCCAGGGCUGCAGGCCUG